This is a long non-coding RNA of Juglans microcarpa x Juglans regia, 282 nucleotides long. RefSeq lists it as uncharacterized. The record is from RefSeq and is a predicted model, not a curated record. The transcript is spliced from 3 exons. Lineage: Eukaryota; Viridiplantae; Streptophyta; Magnoliopsida; Fagales; Juglandaceae.
AAAGCAACAAAGUAUGAAAAAAGAAAGCCCUAAUCCCAUUCACCGAGCAUUCUCUAUUAUCAAAACAGAGUCCAUUACUCUCAUUCCAAAUACACCACGUAAGACAAAGAGGAAUCAUCUUCCAAACAGCCACUAUUUGACAAUUUCCUUGAAUCCCUCUCCAACAGGCCAAAAGAUUCCCUACACUCUUAGGCAUCACCCAAGAAAUGCCAGACUUGACAAAGACCUCAUCCCACAAAGCCCUCGACACAUCACAAUGAAGAAGAAGCUAACAAUCUUUUU